UCCCACGAACGGUGUUAACAGGAGAAGAAAACGGUGCUUGUCCCGUCUAUAGCGAUCUCUCCAACCAAACAAAAAAUAGGAUCAUCCCAUCCCAUUCAACCAAACAAGAAAUGGGAUCAUCCCAUCCCGAAAAACUGGAACGGGACCGUCCCGUUCUACAUUGUCUCCCAACCAAACGCACCCUAAACUCCGCGACAGGUCAUCCUCUCCCGUCUGCUUCUAGAAACCGGAUCGUGCGUGACGAUCGUGCUUGCGUGGUCGCGCGCCACUGGACUCGAGCAGCCUGCCCAGUCCCAUGCCAUGACUCCGACGCAAACGCCUAAAAAACUUGCAAAUCCUUGACCCUUCGUGCAUGUUUCUGUAGUUUUUCUUUUUUAAAAACAGGGAAGGAAUUCGGCCUGAUGGGGGGUAACAGACUGACAGUGCGACGAAAUGUUUUCAGGCGUUCAGGUGUAACCAUCACUUCAUCAGAGCGUGGCGCGGCAGCCGGCUGACGACGAGGAGGGGAGUUUUCUUGGCACCGUGACGAAGAAAUAAAAGCAUUGGAUUAGGUGAAGGAUUGAUGGCAGAUGACUGGUGUGGUGUGGCACUAGUCCAUUUUUCUAGCCAUCGAGGUCGAUGCAGUUUUUUUUUUCGAAAAUUGGUCGAUGCAGUUUUCAUCGUGAACUUUGGUAUGGCCAUGAUGAGUGAUGGCUGAUACGGGGUGCGGGCGGCAUCAAUUCCUCACAGUGGCAGUACUCGCCAGGCAAUGGACGUGCAGUACUGUGCGGAAUUGAAUCCGCGAAAAAGAGAUGCCGAACUGGAGGCGCUGUCCUUGGUGGCGUGAGUUUCAGAGCUUUGGAUGGCUGCAUGGAUGAUGACCCUGACCGACCCCCCACCCCACAGAACCACACCGUGGAGGCGUGAAUCGACCACGCCAUAUCGCACAGUGGAUUUGAUAAAAAGAAAUAUCACGUGUCAGCAACACGAGUGGCUUUGUGCUUGGAUUUGAUCUGUCCGUGGAUGUGGAUGCAACCAUGCACGACCCAGUGAUACGAGGUGCUAAACUUUAACAGUGUCACAUCGGAUGUUUGGAUGCUAAUUAGGAGGACUAAACAUGAGCUAAUUAUAAAACUAAUUGCAGAACCUUGUGCUAAUUCGCGAGACGAAUCUAUUAAGCCUAAUUAAUCCAUCAUUAGCAAAUGGUUACUGUAGCACCACAUUGUCAAAUCAUGGACUAAUUAGGCUUAAUAGAUUCGUCUCGC
This 1244-nucleotide long non-coding RNA is filed under the name Setaria italica (foxtail millet). RNAcentral describes it as "long non-coding RNA (SITA_LNC007547)". Lineage: Eukaryota; Viridiplantae; Streptophyta; Magnoliopsida; Poales; Poaceae. The record is from RNAcentral.